CGCCGCCCCCGCCCGUGGCGGACGGGUGAGUAAUGCUUAGGAAUUUGCCUAUGUGUGUGGGGCAAAGGUUCUGCCGGGAUGGUGGGGGCGCAUACUUCCGAAAGGGGAAAUAAUACCGCAUACGUCCUACGGGAGAAAGCAGGGGACCUUCGGGCCUUGCGCUAUUGGAUGAGCCUAAGUCGGAUUAGCUAGUUGGUGGGGUAAAGGUUUACCAAGGCGACGAUCUGUAKCGGGUCUGAGAGGAUGACCCGCCACACUGGGAGGGAGACACGGGGAAGACUCCUACGGGAGGCGGCAGUGGGGAAUAUUGGACAAUGGGGGGAAACCUGAUCCAGCCAUGCCGCGUGUGUGAAGAAGGCCUUGAGGUUGUAAAGCACUUUAAUCUAGGAGGAGGCUACUUAAAUUAAUACUCUAGGAUUUUGGACUUUCCUCCCAAAAUAACCCCC
RNAcentral lists this ribosomal RNA (446 nucleotides) under uncultured Gammaproteobacteria bacterium. RNAcentral's name for it is "bacterial SSU rRNA". It matches the Rfam family "Bacterial small subunit ribosomal RNA", at positions 81 to 494 of the family's 1533-position model. Lineage: Bacteria; Pseudomonadati; Pseudomonadota; Gammaproteobacteria. The record is from RNAcentral.